Long non-coding RNA from Hipposideros armiger (great roundleaf bat), 1419 nucleotides. RefSeq lists it as uncharacterized. The transcript is spliced from 3 exons. Lineage: Eukaryota; Metazoa; Chordata; Mammalia; Chiroptera; Hipposideridae. The record is from RefSeq and is a predicted model, not a curated record.
GGUUAAGGGCAGACUCAUCCGUCAAAUGGCCUAUAAUCACAGCUCCUGCCUCAGAGGGUGGGUGAGGGGCCUCAGGGGAUGAUGAAGCCUUGGGCAACCCUAUCUUUCUGCCCCAGCCCCAGUGGCCUCCGCUGUGAGGGGACAAGCCCAGAUCUGCUCCUCACUCCCCAACCAACCCCCAUCCUCAUGAAGCCAUCUCCUCUCCAGCUUUCAACUUCCCCACCUGUCAAAAGGAAACAAGUACUUGUGUGCAGCCACCUCCAGCAGAUUCAAGCCCAGCGGGCACUAAGAUAACCCCUGGCUACUCCCUGAAGGACUAAGGAAAGAAUGUCACGUAUCCAGACUGCCUGACAUCAAGUAUUCAGACCACCUGUCAUCUAGAGGAUGACUAUCUGGCACCAAUCCAGAGGCCAAGAAGGCAGGACUGGUCUUCUCAAGAAUCACCUUUUUACCCAAAGCCUCCAGACUCUUUGAAUUCCUGUGACCGCCCCACAGCCCCAAGAACAAUAACAACCACUUCAAUAAGGAGGAUAAGAAAAACAACAGCUCUCAUGUGUCAUGUGCUUUCUCCUGUGAUAAGCGCUUUGCAAACACACUUCACUGGAUCCUUAAAUUAGUCUAUGAGAUGGGUACUACUGUUAUCCCCACUUUCUAGAGGGAGAAGUGAGAUUUAGAGUACAUGGGUGCCCGAGCUGGGUUCCCCCCAGGCCUGUCUGCUGAAUAACCAAAGGAUGUUCUGCUCCAAAGCCCCACGCCUGCCUACACCCACACAGGGACUUCCAUGGAUGGGUGGCUGUGGCCAAUACCAGUGCUCCUCCCCGACCCUGCUUGGAGUCGGUCCUUUCUCUGGGCUGCUCCCCCCUGGUCUGGGGAAGAUGGCCUCUGCUUCAGCCCUUCCUGCCCCAGGGUAGGGGUCCUGGGUGUGACCCUCCUUCUUGCCCCUUCCCAAUCUGCACUGUUAGGAUUUUCCCCUUCCACAGGGUCCUGGAAAGAGUCCUCAGAGACCUCCUCAACCUGCCACCCCAGCUCCCAAUCUACAGAGACUGAAACCAGGGCCCAUAGAGGGGACAGGACUUGCCCAACACUCCCACUGGGUCCCAGGCAGAGCCAGGAUAGGAGCCAAGCCUGGGGACUCCAGCCUCUGUCCCUCCGGGCAGAGAAGGAGCCGGACGGAUGCGCCUCUGAAGAGAGGCGGUGAGAGCCACUGGCAGGUGAGGGCCUGCACUCAGCAGCGGCUCCGUAAGCACAUGCCUGGGCGGUGGGUCUGGAACCGGAAGUACCUGGUUCUUCACAGACAGCGGCUGGAGUGGUCAGGCUGGCCCAGGUGACACUGGACAUGGAUGUUGUGGACAGAAAAGGGGCCACAUGUUAAACCUAAAAAGCUCAGGAGACUGAAAAUAACCACAGAGGAUGGCGUGA